CUACGGGGCGCUCCAGUAAGGAAUAUUGCACAAUGGGGGGAACCCUGAUGCAGCAACGCCGCGUGGAGGAUGACGCAUUUCGGUGUGUAAACUCCUUUUAUAUGUCAAGAAAAUGACGGUAGCAUAUGAAUAAGCACCGGCUAACUCCGUGCCAGCAGCCGCGGUAAUACGGAGGGUGCAAGCGUUACUCGGAAUCACUGGGCGUAAAGGACGCGUAGGCGGGUUGGAAAGUCAGGUGUGAAAUCCUACGGCUUAACUGUAGAACUGCACUUGAAACUUCUAAUCUAGAGUAUGGGAGGGGGAGAUGGAAUUAGUGGUGUAGGGGUAAAAUCCGUAGAUAUCACUAGGAAUACCUAAAGCGAAGGCGAUCUCCUGGAACAUUACUGACGCUAAGGCGUGAAAGCGUGGGGAGCAAACAGGAUUAGAUACCCUUGUAGUC
RNAcentral lists this ribosomal RNA (439 nucleotides) under uncultured bacterium. Its description in RNAcentral is "partial 16S ribosomal RNA". It matches the Rfam family "Bacterial small subunit ribosomal RNA", at positions 339 to 795 of the family's 1533-position model. The record is from RNAcentral.